Molecule: long non-coding RNA, 343 nt
Organism: Trachemys scripta elegans
Lineage: Eukaryota; Metazoa; Chordata; Testudines; Emydidae
Exons: 3
Source: RefSeq, a predicted model, not a curated record
GAAAGGAAGGAAGAAGAAUUGGGAUCAAGAGCACACUUCCCAGUGUGGAGCAAGGCAACAUGAGUUGCUGAAUGCUGUAUAAAGCAGCAAGAAAUACCCCUGGCGAAUGUAGCUUGCUAUCGGUGAUUUUUCCUGCCCUUGUGUUCCUCACACUAGUCACAUUUCAUGUAUGACUUCUUUUAGUUUAUUUAUAUCGGAGACAUAAAGAGAGAUUGCUUUGAUGUUACUGUGUUUCUAAAAGCUUUCUUCAAUGAGGAUGGGACUGUGUUAAUUGCAUUUAUAAAUAUACUGUCAUAUGAUGCCUUAGCACAAGUGUUUUCCCUGUUUAAAAUUGUUAUAUGUA